Molecule: long non-coding RNA, 794 nt
Filed under: Zalophus californianus (California sea lion)
Lineage: Eukaryota; Metazoa; Chordata; Mammalia; Carnivora; Otariidae
Description: lncRNA (ENSZCAG00015009859.1)
Source: RNAcentral
CCCCAGACCCCUUUCGUACUUCACUGUUGGCCUUUCUGUCUCCAUUUCCAGAUAGUUAAUUCCUCAAAAGGAAGGACUGCAUUUUAGCACGACUGUAUCCUAGUGCCCAGCAGAGUUUCUGGCACGUGGCUGGUGUGCAGUAAACCUCCCCAGAAAUGAAUUGCCCUGAAGACUUCGUGUUCUGCUGUUGCCAAAGCAAUUGACUUCCUGGUAUUGGGGUGACCUCUCUUUUCAGACAAUAUCUCUCCCCACACAAUCUGGAUACCAAGGGUGUCUUCAUCUUCCUGAUAUAUGGGGUAUACAACACAGAGGGCUGCUGCACCUGGAUUACACGCGGUUUCCUUUUCCAGUAGCCUUCAGGUAGGUUGGCAACAAGACUUUUUUUUUUUUUUUUUGCAACGGUACCUCUAUUGCGGUUUCAAAGCAGGCUCCUCCUAUAAAUGCAAAGGAUACACGCCCAUUAUUAAAAUAUUUCCAAACUAAGAGGGAUAACAGAAGCAAUGUUUUAAUAAAUGUUGUGCACUUGAAGUUUACUGCUUUUAGGUAGAACCAAAAGUGCCCUAAGUGAUCCACUUGUGGGUUUGGAUUUUGAUUCAAUACUUGGACUGCAAACUAAAGCAGAGAAAGCCCCCACAUUCGUCCUCAGUUUCCCCCACCUUUUCCGCCAGCCUCUUUCUCUGCAGCCCCCAAGCCACGCUGCAUUACGGUCCUGCGUAAUUCCGCCCCUUGGGUUCCACCUCCUGAGCGGCCUCCCCCAGAAGCCCUCAUCCACGUCCACCGCCGUCAGUGCAGCC